GCCGGGGUGGUGGAAUCGCAGACACGUCGGCCUCAAAAGCCGAUGGGGGAAACCCCGUGCGGGUUCAAAUCCCGCCCCCGGCACCA
Molecule: transfer RNA, 86 nt
Filed under: Pseudomonadota bacterium
Lineage: Bacteria; Pseudomonadati; Pseudomonadota
Also listed under: 1 other name
Description: tRNA-Leu
Rfam family: tRNA
About the family: Transfer RNA (tRNA) molecules are approximately 80 nucleotides in length. Their secondary structure includes four short double-helical elements and three loops (D, anti-codon, and T loops).
Source: RNAcentral